AAAAUUGGAGAGUUUGAUCCUGGCUCAGAAUCAACGCUGGCGGCGUGCCUAACACAUGCAAGUCGAACGAGAAAGUGGGGGCAACCCUGCGAGUACAGUGGCAGACG
RNAcentral lists this ribosomal RNA (107 nucleotides) under Acidobacteriota bacterium. Its description in RNAcentral is "Acidobacteria bacterium (anaerobic digester metagenome) partial 16S ribosomal RNA". It matches the Rfam family "Bacterial small subunit ribosomal RNA", at positions 1 to 104 of the family's 1533-position model. The record is from RNAcentral. Lineage: Bacteria; Pseudomonadati; Acidobacteriota.